This 497-nucleotide ribosomal RNA is filed under the name uncultured bacterium. RNAcentral describes it as "partial 16S ribosomal RNA". It matches the Rfam family "Bacterial small subunit ribosomal RNA", at positions 28 to 507 of the family's 1533-position model. The record is from RNAcentral.
GAUGAACGCUGGCGGCGUGCCUAAUACAUGCAAGUCGAGCGAACAGACGGGGAGCUUCCUCCUCUGACGUUAGCGGCGGACGGGUGAGUAACACGUGGAUAACCUACCUAUAAGACUGGGAUAACUUCGGGAAACCGGAGCUAAUACCGGAUAACAUGUUGAACCGCAUGGUUCAACAGUGAAAGACGGUCUUGCUGUCACUUAUAGAUGGAUCCGCGUCGCAUUAGCUAGUUGGUAAGGUAACGGCUUACCAAGGCAACGAUGCGUAGCCGACCUGAGGGGGGGAUCGGCCACACUGGAACUGAGACACGGUCCAGACUCCUACGGGAGGCAGCAGUAGGGAAUCUUCCGCAAUGGGCGAAAGCCUGACGGAGCAACGCCGCGUGAGUGAAGAAGGUCUUCGGAUCGUAAAACUCUGUUAUUAGGGAAGAACAAAUGUGUAAGUAACUAUGCACGUCUUGACGGUACCUAAUCAGAAAGCCACGGCUAACUACGUG